AUGAGACCUUGCAUAUUCUCACAGAUCUUCAAUAUGUUGGACACCAUCUUUCCCAGGAACCUCAGCCUUCAAAAGAGCCUUGCUUUGUUGCCCAGGCUGGAGUGCAGUGGCACAAUCUCAGCUCACUGCAGCCUCCACUUCCUGGAUUCAAGCAAUUCUCCUGCCUCAGCCCCAAGUAGCUGGGAUUACAGGUAUGUGCCACCCUGCCCAACUAGUUUUUGUAUUUUUAGUAGAGACAGAGUUCUGCCAUGUUGGCCAGGCUGGUCUUGAACUCCUGACCUCAGGUGAUCAGCCCAC
RNAcentral lists this long non-coding RNA (297 nucleotides) under Callithrix jacchus (white-tufted-ear marmoset). RNAcentral's name for it is "lncRNA (ENSCJAG00000081606.1)". The record is from RNAcentral. Lineage: Eukaryota; Metazoa; Chordata; Mammalia; Primates; Cebidae.